UACGUAGGGUGCAAGCGUUAAUCGGAAUUACUGGGCGUAAAGCGUGCGUAGACGGUCUUGUAAGUCGGGUGUGAAAUCCCCGGGCUCAACCUGGGAAUUGCAUUCGAGACUGCAAGGCUUGGGUGCGGAAGAGGGAAGCGGAAUUUCCGGUGUAGCGGUGAAAUGCGUAGAUAUCGGAAGGAACAUCAGUGGCGAAAGCGGCUUCCUGGUCCAGCACCGACGUUCAGGCACGAAAGCGUGGGGAGCAAACAGG
RNAcentral lists this ribosomal RNA (253 nucleotides) under uncultured bacterium. Its description in RNAcentral is "partial 16S ribosomal RNA". It matches the Rfam family "Bacterial small subunit ribosomal RNA", at positions 524 to 776 of the family's 1533-position model. The record is from RNAcentral.